GCGGUCAUCGUAUAAUGGUUAUUACCUUAGUCUUCCAAGCUGAAGAUGUGGGUUCGAUUCCUGCUGUCCGCUCCA
Molecule: transfer RNA, 75 nt
Filed under: Yersinia enterocolitica
Lineage: Bacteria; Pseudomonadati; Pseudomonadota; Gammaproteobacteria; Enterobacterales; Yersiniaceae
Description: tRNA-Gly
Rfam family: tRNA
About the family: Transfer RNA (tRNA) molecules are approximately 80 nucleotides in length.
Source: RNAcentral